GCGCUCCAGGGCGGGCUUGGAAAUGGAGACAAACUCCUCCGAGCCGUUAAGGCUCAGCCGGACAGGGCUUAGGAGUCCCGAGCCCAGUCCUGUUCACCCCCAUUUUAUAGAAAGGGAAACUGAGGCCCAGACAGGGGAAAGUCACUUGCCGAGGUGUUUGCUGCAGACUGCGUUGACCGAACCUGCUUUUUCACAGCAGUCAGACAGCAAGCCCUCCCGUCCCUCCAGGACCCUAGUUCCUGGGGAGGAAGGCGUUCUCAGCGAUAAUGACCAGCAUUAAAGUGCUCCCCGUUACCGGCGUCACUGCCCCAGCCAGUGGAGGCCCCGGAGAGGGACUGAAGAUGUGUCACCUAACUUCUCUGAACCUUCCUCCCUCAAGGAGAACUGAUAAUCCCUAACUCACAGUUCUGUGAGGAUUGAAUGCCUUAAGCAUGCAGGUUAAGUGGCUACUGAAGGCAGUUUUUGUGGACAGGUGAUUUGGGAGCCUGGAGGAAGGGUUACGUGCGCGCGCGUGUGUGCGUGUGUGUGUGCGUGUGUGUAAGAAUCUUUCCGUGAGAGGACAUCUGAGGUGCCUUAGGAGAGUAGGAGUGGACAACAGCAUCCAGGCAGAAGGAGCAGCAUGUAGGUGAAGUCACAGGCUGGUGAGAUCCUGACAAGUUCAUGUGGGCCAAGGGAAGCCAUUUCCAGAACCAGCUGGGGUCUGGGUUUUGUUCUUGCCCUUUCCUGCUACUCCAGCAAGCCGGGGGACUGGGGCCAGCUUGCCACUGGCAUGGCCUAGAUUCCCCAGUGAGCUGGGGGUGACUAACUCUCUUCCCAGCCCAAGGAUAGAAGGUGGAGCAGCCUGGCCGGCAGGGAUCUGAAGCCCAGAGAGAGGAAGCCACUGGCUCCAAGUCACAGAGCAGAAACUGGUCCCAGCGUCAGAUCUGCGAUGCUGCCCAGGCAUGGUGGUGACCCUCUCUAAACAAGCACACUCAGAAUUUCCCUGGCUCGGCUGGGCGACUCAGAAGAAAACUGGCCAUCAGCUUCUGCCUCAAGCGGGUGCUGUGGCAAGGAAGACAGAGCAUGUGUGUUGUGAACACUCAUUAGAGGAUCAUCCCUGCUGUGCCAGGUGCCAUGGCGCUGGAUGCAGAAAGCAGGACACAUGGAAAGAUGGUGUGUUCACAAAGAAUUUGGAAGAAAGCCAGAUGGUGACAAGAGUGUGUCUCUGAAUGCCCCUUUUGGGGGUCACUAAAAAUGCCCCAGGGUUUUUAGUUAGACCAAAAAGGAGGCUUCAAAGAGAUGACUUCUGAGCCGGGUUGUGAUACAUCUAGGAUGUCAACAGGCAGAGAAAGGGCAGGGACUGGGAGUAAGGAAAGAACAUCUGUUCAAGGCAAAACACUGAUUACCAAAGUUUCUAUCAUCCUUAUGUUGACAACGGACAUAAUUUUAACCUUUUGUAUAAGCCAGACUGUAAAGGAUUAUUAGCAGAAUAAAAGCAUCUAUUGGGCCUGGUGCAGUGGCUCACGCCUGUAAUCCAAGCACUUUGGGAGG
RNAcentral lists this long non-coding RNA (1530 nucleotides) under Homo sapiens (human). RNAcentral's name for it is "HSALNT0292298". The record is from RNAcentral. Lineage: Eukaryota; Metazoa; Chordata; Mammalia; Primates; Hominidae.